RNAcentral lists this long non-coding RNA (1341 nucleotides) under Equus caballus (horse). RNAcentral describes it as "lncRNA (ENSECAG00000048201.1)". The record is from RNAcentral. Lineage: Eukaryota; Metazoa; Chordata; Mammalia; Perissodactyla; Equidae.
AAAAAAAUGACAUUCCAAUAAGGUGGAAUGAAAUAGAAACGGAAAAUUAGAACCAAAGAAAAUGAGUCCAAGGAUAUGCUAAUUGUAAGUAAUUUGCCUUGAUUAAGACUUAAAUUUGGCUCCAGCCUUCAUGGAAGCCCAGAGAAAGGGAAAUAGGACAAGUUGCAUGUUCUUCACAGGUCCUUGGAGGAGACAAAGCUGAUCAAGCACCAAGUCAGAGGAUGGGAUUUUUAAGGGGCUGUAAUGAAAAGAUUUUUGCAUUCCCCCUCCUGGAUUCCUCCUUAAAAGAGGGACCCAUGGCAAAUUACUAACCCUUGGUAGUACAGUCCAGUUUCCUCCUCAUUCUCAAAUGGGGUUAAUAGUAACUACUCUGCAGGUUGUUGGGAGGAUUAAAUGAGAGGCUUGGUAGAGAGUACAUUUGCAUGACUGUUAGUUGGAAUCAACCUAACUUCUAUUGGUGGAGGAAUGGUUAAAUGAAGUAUGAUACACUUUUAUCAUAACAUAGCGCAUCCUUCCUCAUGCUUCACCCCUCCCAACCCCACACGCCGUCAAUGACUCUGCAGUUUCUCCCAGGAAAGGCAGAGUAUAUUUCCUCACCCGACUAGUAUUGAACUUGGCCAUGUGAUUUGCUUUGGCCAAUGAAAUGGGGACAGAAGUGACAAUGUACUGAGCCCAGACCUAGGGGCAUUAUGUAUUUCCUUUGACCCCUCUUGAGAGUCUGCCAUCACCAUAAGACUAUGAUCUGCUAGUUUUUUUGGUCCAAGGAUGAUAACAAACACACGGAGCAGACUGGACCCAACCUGAACUUCAGAACCCAGAUGAGCCCAGCUGACUGAGACCCUCAGUGUGAGCGGAAAAAAAGGAAAAAGACGAGAAGACUGAGCUGUGAAGCCACUUGGGCAAGUUUGGUGGCAGAGCUGGAAUUUGAACUGGGUUUUCUCCCAGAACCUAUGCACCUAUGCUCUCAGCCUCUCCAUUACUGUAUAUGGCCAACAGCACUGAAGAAUAUCUCAGAAGAACGCACUUGCUUCCUUGUUUUUCACAUAAAAGAUGCUGCUGCUAUGCUGACCUAUGAACUGUGUGAGUCCUCUCUGCUUUUGCAGAAAUAGUGGGUGACCCUGUUGAAGUGUCUGACUUUUGAAGGACUAGUGAUUACCUUAUAAGCGGUGAGCCCCAUCGGAAAAGCUGUCCGUACCACCAAAACAAUCUGAGAAUGGACGAAGUGCAGAAUUCUCCAUCCGAUGCGUAGUCAUUUGUUGAUUAAAAAAGAAAGGCUUAAAUGAAUGUGUUGUUAUGAACCGUCUCAAAAUGCAUUCACAUCUUUUAUGUUAUUAUACACCC